This 305-nucleotide ribosomal RNA is filed under the name uncultured bacterium. Its description in RNAcentral is "bacterial SSU rRNA". It matches the Rfam family "Bacterial small subunit ribosomal RNA", at positions 338 to 639 of the family's 1533-position model. The record is from RNAcentral.
CCUACGGGGGGCAGCAGUGAGGAAUAUUGGUCAAUGGGCGAGAGCCUGAACCAGCCAAGUCGCGUGAAGGAUGACGGCCCUACGUGUUGUAUACUUCUUUUGUCAGGGAGCAAUUGGGUCGACGCGUGGGCUUAGCGAGAGUACCUGAAGAAAAAGCAUCGGCUAACUCCGUGCCCGCAGCCGCGGUAAUACGGAGGAUCCGAGCGUUAUCCGGAUUUAUUGGGUUUAAAGGGAGCGUAGGUGGAUUGUUAAGUCAGUUGUGAAAGUUUGCGGCUCCACCGUAAAAUUGCAGUUGAAACUGGCAG